AGUGAUUCUCCUGCCUCAGCCUCCCAAGUUGCUGAGAUUACAGGUUCUUCAUUUGUGAACAAAUGACAUUUUAUGCUGAAGAUAGGCUUGCACCUGAGAGUCAACAACAGGGCCUUGUUAGAUCUGGGCUGUGCAAUGUUGUUAAGCUGUCCCAUGAUCCAGCAGAUUAGAGCAUUAGGGACACCCUGACACACUGAAGACUUGACAUCACUUCAGAUGAAAAUGCUAAGAUUGGUAGGUUUCUCCCUACCACAGGGAAAUUAGAAAUUAUGAAAUACAUUGCAAAGACACAAGCCACGUAACAUGGAAUGCUGGCUUGGAAAAAAAGGACCUGAGCUUAUGUUUAAUCCCACCCUUACCUCUGGGAACUGGGGCACAUUUCUGGGUUUUGAAUUUCUCUUCUGUAAAAAGAAGACCAAUGGCCAGUUCAGCCAUGGCCAGUUCAUCACUAAUAUCCCUUGAAACUCCGUGAAUAUAUUCUAUGAAUACAAGCCUUAGAGGCAGCCUCUUGCUGCAAAAAUGCAGCUACAAGUCUUUGAUUCUUCUGUGGGUGAGAUGAACACAGUCAUGCCAAAAUCAUAGUGUUUUAUAAUAAUCAAACAAGUUAAUGUUUAUGAAAUAGCUUUGGAAAUUGAAAAAGGCUACGAAAUAUUGCAUUACAUAUGCAAUUUGCGAUAAUUGGAGUAAUUAAUACUCAUUUGAGAUCAGCCAUGUUGGAGUAGGUUAGAUCACUCACAUUCCUCUCUUCAUGUACUGAUCUAGUAACAUUUGAUCAUCACUUCAGAGGUUACAGAUGAUGUGCUGCUGUCUAUUGGAUGAUGCAGUUUAUGGUUUUAAAAUCCUAAGGGCCACCCUAAGAACCCAGGGUUACAAUAUGCUCAAUAUUUCUACUGAUGAUACUGAAAAGUCAAUUUCUAGAGGAUUCUCUACUUAAGAAGACAAAAAUCCUUGACAAAUACCUGCUUGGUUCCAAGAUAUGGUGGCAUAAGUUGAGCAAAAUAACAGAUCAAUGGAAAAGCAUGGACAAGAUAGGUAAUAAAUUCCUACUCCAUUGGCUAUAGUACUGAGCAUUUACUUUGCUAAAAGGAUGCUGGUUCAAUGUGUCAUGGAAGGAGUGCCCUGCAGAAUAAAUUUUGGUCUUGAAA
Molecule: non-coding RNA, 1145 nt
Organism: Homo sapiens (human)
Lineage: Eukaryota; Metazoa; Chordata; Mammalia; Primates; Hominidae
Source: RefSeq, a predicted model, not a curated record